UAACAAGGUUUCCGUAGGUGAACCUGCGGAAGGAUCAUUGUCGAAACCUGCCUAGCAGAAUGACUCGGGAACUUGUUCAUAAAACGGGGGGUCCGAAGCUGGUUAUGCUAGCCUUGGCUCUUCACAAGGCCUCGAUUGGGGUAUUUAGGUUGUGGAAGCUWAUUCUUCCACCCUAAGUGCUUUGUUUGUGGCCUGUUAACAAAACCCCGGCGCGGAAAGCGCCAAGGAAGUGAAAACAAAAAGAUCGGUCACCCUGAUUGCCCUGGAAACGGUGUGCAAAAGGGAUGCGCUGCACUUUGAGAAUCUWAAUGACUCUCGGCAACGGAUAUCUCGGCUCUCGCAUCGAUGAAGAACGCAGCGAAAUGCGAUACUUGGUGUGAAUUGCAGGAUCCCGUGAACCAUCGAGUUUUUGAACGCAAGUUGCGCCCGAAGCCUUUUGGCCGAGGGCACGCCUGCCUGGGUGUCACUCAAUCGUCGCCCUAACAUCUUCCUAUUGGAAGGGGGCGGAAGUUGGCCUCCCGCGUGCUCUUUGCAAACGGUUGGCCUAAACAUCCGGUCUUUGGCAAUGAUGCCACGGCAAUCGGUGGUUGUAUGACCCUCGUUAAUUGCUGUGAGUGAUCAAAUGCCGGUGAGACUUUUGAUGCCYCGAAGCGUUUCUUAUGAUACGCUUCCAAUGCGACCCC
Molecule: ribosomal RNA, 683 nt
Filed under: Euphorbia setosa
Lineage: Eukaryota; Viridiplantae; Streptophyta; Magnoliopsida; Malpighiales; Euphorbiaceae
Description: eukaryotic LSU rRNA
Rfam family: 5.8S ribosomal RNA (bases 311-466)
Source: RNAcentral